GACGGGUGAGUAAUAUAUAGGUAACCUACCCUUGAGUGGGGGACAACAUGCCGAAAGGUGUGCUAAUCCCGCAUAACAUUCGGUGGCAUAAGUCAUCGAAUCAAAGAGGGGGAUCCUUCGGGACCUCUCGCUUGGGGAUGGGCCUGUAUCCUAUUAGCUAGUUGGUGGGGUAAUGGCCUACCAAGGCAAUGAUGGGUAGCCGAGCUGAGAGGCUGAUCGGCCACA
This 225-nucleotide ribosomal RNA is filed under the name uncultured bacterium. RNAcentral's name for it is "partial 16S ribosomal RNA". It matches the Rfam family "Bacterial small subunit ribosomal RNA", at positions 102 to 312 of the family's 1533-position model. The record is from RNAcentral.